Molecule: ribosomal RNA, 253 nt
Filed under: uncultured bacterium
Lineage: Bacteria
Description: partial 16S ribosomal RNA
Rfam family: Bacterial small subunit ribosomal RNA
Source: RNAcentral
UACGUAGGGGGCAAGCGUUGUCCGGAGUUACUGGGCGUAAAGCGCACGCAGGCGGUCGAUUAAGUUUGGCGUGACAGUUGGUGGCUUAACUGCCAAAGUGCUUUGAAAACUGAUCGACUUGAGGGCUUCAGAGGGACACGGAAUUCCGGGUGGAGUGGUGAAAUGCGUAGAGAUCCGGAGGAACACCGAAGGCGAAGGCAGUGUCCUGGGGAGUACCUGACGCUCAGGUGCGAAAGCCAGGGGAGCGAACGGG